RNAcentral lists this long non-coding RNA (361 nucleotides) under Oryza brachyantha (malo sina). Its description in RNAcentral is "long non-coding RNA (OBRA_LNC002068)". Lineage: Eukaryota; Viridiplantae; Streptophyta; Magnoliopsida; Poales; Poaceae. The record is from RNAcentral.
AAGCCUCAGCUAAAGAAGAGGCGCGGUGGUGGCAAUAAUUCGAUCCGUGCUCAUGGACCGAGUCCACGCACCCAUCGUCUUCCCCGCGGAGGAGAGAGAGAGAGCCGCUGCAGCAAAAGUUAGAGUAAGCCGUAGUGGUUGGUGCAGGUCGCUAAGAGAGAGAAGAAAAAGAUAGGGAUAGCUAGAGAGAGAAGGCUCUGAGCUUGAGAGAGAGAGGAGAGAUGGAGAAGGAGAGACGCAAGAGGAGAUAGGAAUUAAACAAACAAAAGCGGCCGUGGAAAAAGAGGGGAGAGAGGAGGAAGAAGGGGGGAGAGAGAAAGGGGGCAACUUGACCCAGUGGGAGGAGGAGGGCAAGAAGCGG